This 468-nucleotide ribosomal RNA is filed under the name uncultured bacterium. RNAcentral describes it as "partial 16S ribosomal RNA". It matches the Rfam family "Bacterial small subunit ribosomal RNA", at positions 28 to 507 of the family's 1533-position model. The record is from RNAcentral.
GACGAACGCUGGCGGCGUGCUUAACACAUGCAAGUCGAACGGAAAGGCCCUGCUUUUGUGGGGUGCUCGAGUGGCGAACGGGUGAGUAACCCGUGAGUAACCUGCCCUUGACUUUGGGAUAACUUCAGGCAACUGGGGCUAAUACCGGAUAGGAGCUCCUGCUGCAUGGUGGGGGUUGGAAAGUUUCGGCGGUUGGGGAUGGACUCGCGGCUUAUCAGCUUGUUGGGUGGGUAGUGGCUUACCAAGGCUUUGACGGGUAGCCGGCCUGGGAGGGUGACCGGCCACAUUGGGACUGAGAUACGGCCCAGACUCCUACGGGAGGCAGCAGUGGGGAAUAUUGCACAAUGGGCGGAAGCCUGAUGCAGCAACGCCGCGUGCGGGAUGACGGCCUUCGGGUUGUAAACCGCUUUCGCCUGUGACGAAGCGUGAGUGACGGUAAUGGGUAAAGAAGCACCGGCUAACUACGUG